Molecule: long non-coding RNA, 2406 nt
Organism: Oncorhynchus mykiss (rainbow trout)
Lineage: Eukaryota; Metazoa; Chordata; Actinopteri; Salmoniformes; Salmonidae
Source: Ensembl
CCUCUAAUCACCCUCACCCUCACCCUAACCAUCCUAACCACCCUCACCAUAACCACUCUAACUCUAACCACUCUAACUCUAACCACUCUAACUCUAACCACUCUAACCACCCUAACUCUAACCACUCUAACCACCCUAACCACCCUCACCCUAACCACUCUAACUCUAACCACCCUCACUCUAACCACUCUAACCACUCUUAACUCUAACCGCUCUAACCACUCUAACCACCCUAACUCUAACCACUCUAACCAACCGAACACUAACCACUCUAACUCUAACCACCCUAACCACUCUAACUCUAACCACCCUAACCACUCUAACUCUAACCACUCUAACUCUAACCACCCUAACCACACUAACUCUAACCACCCUAACCACUUUAACUCGAACCACUCUAACUCUAACCACUCUAACCACCCUAACCACUUUAACUCUAACCACUCUAACCACUCUAACUCUAACCACCCUAACUCUAACCACUCUAACUCUAACCACUCUAACCACUCUAAUUCUAACCACUUUAACUCUAACCACCCUAACCACUCUAACUCUAACCACUUUAACUCUAACCACCCUAACCACUCUAACUCGCACCACCCUAACCACUCUAACCACCCUAACCACACUAACUCUAACCACCCUAACCACUCUAACUCUAACCACUCUAACUCUAACCAUCCUAACCACUCUAACUCUCACCACCCUAACCACUCUAACCACCCUAACCACACUAACUCUAACCACCCUAACCACUUUAACUCUAACCACUCUAACCACUCUAACCACCCUAACCACAUUAACUCUAACCACCCUAACCACUCUAACUCUAACCACUCUAACUCUAACCAUCCUAACCACUCUAACUCUCACCACCCUAACCACUCUAACCACCCUAACCACUCUAACUCUCACCACCCUAACCACUCUAACCACUCUAACCACACUAACUCUAACCACCCUAACCACACUAACUCUAACCACCCUAACCACUCUAACUCUAACCACUCUAACUCUAACCAUCCUAACCACUCUAACUCUCACCACCCUAACCACUCUAACCACCCUAACCACACUAACUCUAACCACCCUAACCACUUUAACUCUAACCACUCUAACCACUCUAACCACCCUAACCACAUUAACUCUAACCACCCUAACCACUCUAACUCUAACCACUCUAACUCUAACCAUCCUAACCACUCUAACUCUCACCACCCUAACCACUCUAACCACCCUAACCACUCUAACUCUCACCACCCUAACCACUCUAACCACUCUAACCACACUAACUCUAACCACCCUAACCACACUAACUCUAACCAGUCUAACCACUCUAACUCUAACCACCCUAACCGCUCUAACUCUAACCACCACUCUCACCACUCUAACUCUAAACACCCUAACCACCCUAACCACUCUAACCACCCUAACACUAACCACUCUAACCAACUUAACCACCCUCACCCUAACCACUCUAACUCUAACCAGCCUCACCCUAACCACUCUAACCACCCUAACACUAACCACCCUAACACUAACCACUCUAACCAACCUAACUCUAACCACUCUAACUCUAACCACCCUCACUCUAACCACCCUCACCCUAACCACCCUCACUCUAACCACCCUCACCCUAACCACCCUCAAUCUAACCACCCUCACCCUAACCACUCUAACUCUAACCACCCUCACUCUAACCACCCUAACACUAACCACCCUAACCACUUUAACCACUCUAACUCUAUCCACCCUAACCACUCUAACCACCCUAACCACUCUAACUCUAACCCCCUAACCACUCUAACCACCCUAACACUAACCACCCUAACACUAACCACCCUAACCACUCUAACACUAACCACUCUAAAAAUAACCACCUUAACACUAACCACCCUAACCACUCUUACACUAACCACUCCAACCACCCUAACUCUAACCACUCUAACCACCCUCACUCUAACCACUCUAACCACCCUAACCACUCUAACUCUAACCACCCUAACUCCAACUACCCUAACCACUCUAACCACCCAAACCACUCUAACCACCCUAACACUAACCACUCUAACCAACUUAACCACCCUCACCCUAACCACUCUAACUCUAACCAGCCUCACCCUAACCACUCUAACCACCCUCACCCUAACCACCCUAACACUAACCACCCUAACACUAACCACUCCAACCAACCUAACUCUAACCACUCUAACUCUAACCACCCUCACUCUAACCACCCUCACCCUAACCACCCUCAAUCUAACCACCCUCACCCUAACCACUCUAACUCUAACCACCCUCACUCUAACCACCCUAACACUAACCACCCUAACCACUUUAACCACCCUAAGUCUAUCCACCCUAACCACUCUAACCACCCUAACCACUCUAACUCUAACCCCCUAA